RNAcentral lists this ribosomal RNA (254 nucleotides) under uncultured bacterium. RNAcentral's name for it is "partial 16S ribosomal RNA". It matches the Rfam family "Bacterial small subunit ribosomal RNA", at positions 524 to 776 of the family's 1533-position model. The record is from RNAcentral.
UACGGGGGGAGCAAGCGUUGUUCGGAUUUACUGGGCGUAAAGGGCGCGUAGGCGGCCACCGCAAGUCGAUUGUGAAAUCUCCGGGCUUAACCCGGAAAGGUCAACCGAUACUGCGGGGCUAGAGUGCAGAAGGGGCAACUGGAAUUCUCGGUGUAGCGGUGAAAUGCGUAGAUAUCGAGAGGAACACCAGUGGCGAAGGCGAGUCCCUGGACAACUCCUGACACUGAGGCACGAAAGCUAGGGGAGCAAACAGG